UGGGGCGUAGCCAAGCGGUAAGGCACGGGUCUUUGGAACCCGCAUUCCUAGGUUCGAAUCCUAGCGCCCCAG
RNAcentral lists this transfer RNA (72 nucleotides) under Bacillota bacterium. RNAcentral's name for it is "tRNA-Gln". It matches the Rfam family "tRNA". Rfam says of the family: Transfer RNA (tRNA) molecules are approximately 80 nucleotides in length. Their secondary structure includes four short double-helical elements and three loops (D, anti-codon, and T loops). The record is from RNAcentral. Lineage: Bacteria; Bacillati; Bacillota.